Mus caroli (Ryukyu mouse) is the source of this 619-nucleotide long non-coding RNA. RefSeq lists it as uncharacterized. NCBI's taxonomy places the organism in Eukaryota, Metazoa, Chordata, Mammalia, Rodentia, Muridae. The record is from RefSeq and is a predicted model, not a curated record.
UUAGAUGUGGGGCGCAUCCUGUAACAUGCGCUGCUGAACUUUUGACUCGGGAAGCUGGGAUGCCUCCGCCCUGUUUAAUGGGUUUGAAGUUUUAGUCCAGCAGCGACGAGGCAGCAUCCUGCGGUCAGCUGAAUGCGCUCACACUGCUUGCUUUGUGUUCGAAGUCUUUUCUUUUCUCCGGAGUAUUCUCUCUCCACAUGAAGGGAAACAAUCAAAACUGAAGAAAUCAGUUCCCACUUGAGAACAUUAACGCAUAAAUGGACACUCAGACAGUUUUGCUCAUUUUUAUAUAACUCAAAAGAUGGGUGGAGGGCCUGGCUUACAUAGAAUCUUUGUUGUAACGGAAAGCAUUAUAGUGUAUAUUUAUCUUCCUAUGAAGCUCUGUAUAGAUGUCACCUGGUGAUCUAAACUCAAGAAUGGACUAUAGACAUUUCUAGUUUUAGAGAAGAUUCUACAACUCAGCUCAUCAUGAGCCUCCACUGGAAAUGUUGAAGGAAGCAAUUUCCACCAAGCCAUAACGAGGUUACUUUCUCCCUGAAAAAUGAGUAAAUUAUUUGUCACUAACGGUGUCUUACGUCAGCUCUCAUGACUUCUUCAGACUGAGCUCUUACACUUGGCA